AGUGAACGCUGGCGGCAUGCUUUACACAUGCAAGUCGAACGGUAACACGCCUUCGGGUGCUGACGAGUGGCGAACGGGGGAGUAGUGCAGCGGAACGUGCCCAGAGGUGGGGGUUAACGCAGCGAAAGCUGUGCUAAUACCGCCUGUGACCUGAGGAUGCAAGCGGGGGACCGAGGAGCAAUUUUUGGCCUUGCGCCUCUGGAUGGGCCGAUGUCGGAUUAGGUAGUUGGGGGGGUAAAGGCCCACCAAGCCGACGAUCCGUAGCUGGUCUGAGAGGACGAGCGGACACACUGGGACUGAGACACGGUCCCGACUCCCACGGGGGGCAGCGGGGGGGAAAAUUGGGCAAAGGGGGCAAGGCUUAACCAGCCAUACCGCGGGGGGGAAAAAGGCCUUCGGGUUGUAAAGCCCUUUUUUUGGGAAAGAAAAGGGGCCGGGUAAUACCCCGGGGUUCUGACGGUACCCGAAGAAUAAGCCCCGGCUAACUUCGUG
RNAcentral lists this ribosomal RNA (492 nucleotides) under uncultured bacterium. Its description in RNAcentral is "partial 16S ribosomal RNA". It matches the Rfam family "Bacterial small subunit ribosomal RNA", at positions 30 to 507 of the family's 1533-position model. The record is from RNAcentral.